UUUUAAAUUGAGAGUUUGAUCCUGGCUCAGGACGAACGCUGGCGGCGUGCCUAACACAUGCAAGUCGAGCGAUGAAACUUCCUUCGGGAAGUGGAUUAGCGGCGGACGGGUGAGUAACACGUGGGUAACCUGCCUCAAAGAGGGGGAUAGCCU
RNAcentral lists this ribosomal RNA (153 nucleotides) under Clostridium botulinum. RNAcentral's name for it is "partial 16S ribosomal RNA". It matches the Rfam family "Bacterial small subunit ribosomal RNA", at positions 1 to 149 of the family's 1533-position model. Lineage: Bacteria; Bacillati; Bacillota; Clostridia; Eubacteriales; Clostridiaceae. The record is from RNAcentral.